AUCUCACUCCCGCCACAGCUUGGGAUCGGUCUCUGCUGUUUUACGUCCUCCACCUCGGGAGCCCCCGGUGACUGUCACAGCCUCUUGCCCUGUGAUCUGCAGGUUCUGGGAGACGCACAGCUAAGAUGCCAGGACAUCCUGGAAGCUGGGAAAAGAUGGAGUUUCACUCUUGUUGCCCAGGCUGGAGUGCAUUAUCCCAAUCUCGGCUUACUACAACCUCCGCCUCCCAGGUUCUGACAACAAAGGAGAUUGUGACAUAUUGCUGGGCCUAACACUAAGGUGAUGUUAGUUAUUUGCUUUGGCUGUGCCCUUGGAAGGCAUUGAGACAUACUGCUGUGCCCAGCACCAAGAUGAUGUAACGUGACUCUUCUGCUUCAGGCCUGCCAAAAGAAAAGAUUGUGACAGAUCACUGGACCCAGCACCUAGGUAGGAUUGUGACAUAUAUCUGGCCAAGCGUACAGAUGUAAUGAUGACUGUCAUACCUUGAAGAAGCCAAUAGCAGAGAGAAUGUUGCUCUCAGGCUUAGGAAAAUGAGGAAGUCUUUCUGUACAAAAGUCAUAAAGAAUUACUACUCUCUCACAUAUAUUACGCCCUAGUGUGUUACAGAGAAUGUCAUAACAGGGCCCAGCACACAAGUGAGAUUGUGUUUGUCCUAUGCACACUACACCAACCUUUACAGUUGUCACCCUGACCCAUUGACAGAGUCUGCUAGUGAGGUUCUGAAUUACAUGUGAACACAGUCCGCAGUUGGAAUUGUGACUGUCAUAUGUGAACAUCUGGCUACAGUUGGGAUGGUGACUCAUUUCUAAAUCCAGCUCAUAGGAAGGUGAAGACUCUCCUAUCUGGACUCAGUUGGUGAGAGAGAUGUUGACUCUCAUAUCUGGGCUUAGAACCACAGGAAAGAUUCUGGAGCUCCUUGUGCAAAGGUCAUAGAGGAUUAUCAAUCUUGCAUAUUGUAUAAAGUCCUCAGGUGACACAGAGUGUCUCUCGAAUGCACACCCAGGCAACAGUAAAGAUUGUCAUUCUCCCACAUAAACACAUCCCACUGUUGAAGUUCUGAAUUUCACAGAGGCUGUCAAAAGUUGGAUAAUUGCCUCUCAUGUGUGGAUCUGGUCCACAGGUGGGUUAGUGACUUCCAGACCAAGGUUCAGCGCACAUGUAAGGCUGUGACUACACUAAGAAGAUACAGUCUGCAGAAGAAACUGUGGCUCUUUUGCACACAUUCUGUCAAUCAUUGUGAUUGCGACUCAUGUACUUAGACCCAACAUACAGGAGGUGUUGACUUUCAUACCUUUAGAACCUGGACAUGUUUGGAAUUUCUAAUCUAAUCCCUGGACUUUCCUGCAGGUGUGAUUGUGUGCAUUGCAAAGCACCUUAGUGAUUUGACUCUCCUGCCUUGGCCAAGCACACAAAUGAGAUUGUGACAUAUGGCUUGACUCUGAACCUCCAAGAUGUGACUCUUUUUUCCAGCCUUGGAGCUGCCCACAUGUUGCAUUGUGACAUAUUCCUAAGCCCUGCACUCAGGUUAUGUGACUCUCCUUUUUUGCUUAGGCCCUGAAUAUUUUUCAUGUUAAGACAUAUUACUAGGUCCAACACCUAUAAAAUGGGAGACUACCACCUGGGCUCUUUCUACAGAGGGCCUUGUGACAUACCUCUGCAUCAAUAACCUAGGAGAUGUGAUGCUCCAUUUUUGCCUGUACGUGCCCCACAGAAAAAAUUGUGGCUGGCCCAGGUACCAGGUGAUGUGUCUCUGCUGCCUGGGCCUGGACCACAGAGAGCAUUGUUACUGAUUGCUGGGCUCAGCACCCAGGUGAUGUGACUCUGCUGCCUGUGUGCUGCUUUCAG
Molecule: long non-coding RNA, 1845 nt
Filed under: Homo sapiens (human)
Lineage: Eukaryota; Metazoa; Chordata; Mammalia; Primates; Hominidae
Description: non-protein coding LINC01224:43
Source: RNAcentral